This 942-nucleotide ribosomal RNA is filed under the name Triticum aestivum (bread wheat). Its description in RNAcentral is "partial small subunit ribosomal RNA". The record is from RNAcentral. Lineage: Eukaryota; Viridiplantae; Streptophyta; Magnoliopsida; Poales; Poaceae.
AUGGCAAUCAUUCUUGCAAUGCCGACAAGCAUCCCUUUGAACACAAGCACUGGCAACACUCAAGUAGAUGGAACUGCCGCGGAUACUGAAGUGAAUGAUGAAACUGACGACGACGCACAAGGGGAUGAAGAUGGUGGGCAAUCAGAUAUCGUGGUACCUCAACCACCGUACGUUGGGCAGAGAUUUGAAUCAUUCGAAGAAGCAAAGGAAUUCUACCAGACAUAUGCAAAGUUCCAUGGAUUUGUGGUCAACACCGAAUACCAUAGGAAAAUUAAGAAAACUAACGAGUACAGCAGAGGUGAGAUGAGGUGCCACAAGGCACGGAGGAACAAGAAGGGGAAAGGAUCUGAGCUACAGCAAGAAGCUACCACCGCGCUAAAGCAGCCGAGAUUGCUAACGUAUUUACCGAUCGAGAGGCAAAUGAGCAAGAUAUACACAAACAAGAUCUUUAACAAAUUCCAUGAAGAAAUAAAGCGUGCCAGCAUGUUCACGGCUUUCCAGGUGGACGAACAUACGUUCAAGACAACAAACGCAGUUCUGGCUGUGCAUGACGAGAGACCUGAGGCAACCAUGGAAGCCGUGAGGCACAUUGUGCUGACAAAGAACUGUGCUGAGCUAAUUGAUGAAGCGUGCAAGAGUGAUGAGUCAGCGAGAGUCGCAGAAAAACACAGGAAAGCACUUAAAACAGAGCUUGAUAAGAUCAAGAAGAGGAAAGCUGAGGAAGCCUUACACCGGUUCCCCCGCACAUCAAGUGUGCCUUCAUCCAGGGGGCCAUCAUCUGAAAACUCAGAGAUAGGAUCUGGAACAGCAAGCACACAGACCCAGGUCAGGAACCCACCCCGUUCCAUCACAAAGGGUCGUCCAAGAGAGAUAAGGUACAAGUCGGGAUUGGAGAUUCAAGCAAAACACAAGAAAACGAAGAAAGGGGCGGGCAAUCCAUAA